RNAcentral lists this long non-coding RNA (255 nucleotides) under Brassica napus (rape). RNAcentral's name for it is "long non-coding RNA (BNAP_LNC005280)". The record is from RNAcentral. Lineage: Eukaryota; Viridiplantae; Streptophyta; Magnoliopsida; Brassicales; Brassicaceae.
GUCAAAUCCAUGAUAUAUCAACUCCCCCAGACUUACCCUUUUGCUUGUCCUCAAGCAAAACAAACAUGCAGUCUCUCUGAAAGAGGUUUGAAAACAGCAGGGACUCACAAAUUUAAAACAUGGAAAUCAUCACCUCUAGAAUAUUGCAAUCCACAUCUAAAAAGUCCUAAUCACAAAAGUACAUUAUGCAAUAUCCUAACUUAGAAACCAAAUUCAAGUAGCCAACAACUCAGAAAAUCCUGUCUAACAUUCCCC